This 533-nucleotide ribosomal RNA is filed under the name uncultured bacterium. RNAcentral's name for it is "bacterial LSU rRNA". It matches the Rfam family "Bacterial large subunit ribosomal RNA", at positions 199 to 686 of the family's 2925-position model. The record is from RNAcentral.
CAUCUAAGUACCUGAACGAAAGUAAAUCAAAAGAGACUCCCCUAGUAGUGGCGAGCGAACGGGACGAGCCUAAACCUCUUCAGUGCAAGCAUGCUGGCGUUGCUGAAGUGGGGUCGUGGGAUUCUGUAGAGAGGUCGGCAUACCUCUCGUCGAGUUACAAAGACCGAGCUAGCCGAACGGUAUUGGACGGCCGGCCACAGCGGGUGAUAGCCCCGUAGGCGAAAGCGAGGUCUCUCGAUCAGAACACCCGAGUACCGCAGGACACGUGUAAUCCGGCGGGAAUCUGGGAGGACCAUCUUCCAAGGCUAAGUACUACUGAUCGACCGAUAGUGAACUAGUACCGCGAGGGAAAGGUGAAAAGAACCCCGGUUAGGGGAGUGAAAUAGUACCUGAAACCGUGUGCCUACAAGCAGUGGGAGCGCUAUGCCCGCAAGGGAAGGCGUCACCACGUACCUUUUGCAUAAUGGGCCUGCGAGUUACCGUGUGUGGCAAGGUUAAGCCGGAAGGUGUAGCCGAAGCGAAAGCGAGUCCUA